Molecule: ribosomal RNA, 444 nt
Filed under: uncultured bacterium
Lineage: Bacteria
Description: bacterial SSU rRNA
Rfam family: Bacterial small subunit ribosomal RNA
Source: RNAcentral
GAUGAACGCUGGCGGCGUGCCUAAUACAUGCAAGUCGAGCGGUAAGGCCCCUUCGGGGUACACGAGCGGCGGACGGCUGAGUAACGCGUAGGAAUAUACCCCAAAGUGAGGGAUAACUGCCCGAAAGGGUGGCUAAUACCGCAUAUGGUCUUCGGAUUAAAGCCUUCGGGCGCUUUGGGAAUAGCCUGCGUAAGAUUAGCUUGUUGGUGAGGUAAAAGCUCACCAAGGCGACGAUCUUUAGCUGGUCUGAGAGGAUGACCAGCCAGACUGGAACUGAGACACGGUCCAGACUCCUACGGGAGGCAGCAGUAGGGAAUUUUCCACAAUGGGCGAAAGCCUGAUGGAGCAACGCCGCGUGCAGGAUGAAGGCCCUCGGGUCGUAAACUGCUUUUAUGUGAGAAGAAUAUGACGGUAACACAUGAAUAAGGGUCGGCUAACUACGUG